CCCAACAGUAGUCGACGGAAGGUUUGUAGAGGUCGCUGACGAAAACAUCUGGGGGGACCGUGGCCCGCUCGGAUGCCAUCUUGGCGAGCGCGUCGGCGGCCUCAUUAUACUUCCUUAACACGUGGUUAAGUUCGAGGCCGUCGAACUUCUCUUCCAGGCGUCGAACCGCUUUGCAGUACGCGUUCAUCUUGGGGUCGUGGCAGCUAGACUCUUUCAUGACUUGAUCGAUGACGAGACUGGAAUCGCCCCGG
This 251-nucleotide long non-coding RNA is filed under the name Sorghum bicolor (sorghum). RNAcentral describes it as "long non-coding RNA (SBIC_LNC012033)". The record is from RNAcentral. Lineage: Eukaryota; Viridiplantae; Streptophyta; Magnoliopsida; Poales; Poaceae.